This 69-nucleotide transfer RNA is filed under the name Gilbertaster anacanthus. RNAcentral describes it as "tRNA-Glu". The record is from RNAcentral. Lineage: Eukaryota; Metazoa; Echinodermata; Asteroidea; Valvatida; Goniasteridae.
AUCCUUAUAGUUGAACUACAACAAAAACUUUUCACGCUUUAAGCUCGGAUGAAAACCCCGAUAAGGAUC